Molecule: ribosomal RNA, 393 nt
Filed under: Triticum aestivum (bread wheat)
Lineage: Eukaryota; Viridiplantae; Streptophyta; Magnoliopsida; Poales; Poaceae
Description: partial small subunit ribosomal RNA
Source: RNAcentral
AUGCGCAGGGCACGGGCGCAGCUGUGGGUCGCGGUCGCGGUGCUGGUUACUGGCACCAUCUGGCUCUGGUCCUCUUCCUCCGUUGUCCUCUUCGGCACCCACAGGGUCCAGGAUUUUGUUGUAGAUCAGUUGUGGAGAACUGCAGAUUCAAAUGGUUGGAGAGCAUCUUCUGCACCACGCACCUAUUGGCCUCCCCCACCAACUGAAUCCGAGAGCAAUGGGUACUUGCGUGUCCGGUGCAAUGGUGGCUUGUCCCAACAACGAAGUGCAAUAUGUAAUGCUGGCGCUCUACCCAUGGAUUCCGGCAUUAGCUUGAAACGCUCAGACAAAUUAGGUCUCGGCCAAUGUUGGAGAAGACGGAGUACAGGGAUGAGCCGCUCGAGCACGGUUUGA